Molecule: long non-coding RNA, 623 nt
Organism: Passer domesticus (house sparrow)
Lineage: Eukaryota; Metazoa; Chordata; Aves; Passeriformes; Passeridae
Exons: 2
Source: RefSeq, a predicted model, not a curated record
CACGGUGUAGCGGGAGCGGCCCACGGCGAAGAAGCCGUCGAGGCCGCCGCAGAGGUUGAAGACGGCGAGCGAGCGCGGGCUGCCGUCCACCGUGCCGCGGUAGUGGCAGCGCGGCCCGUCGCGCUCCAGGUCGAGCAGGAAGCGCUGUCCCCCGGCGUAGAGCACGUAGCCCGCCCUGCCGCCCCCCGCGUAGGGAAGAGCCGGGAGCACAUGGAAGGGGAAGAGAGAGAGAGAGGGAGAGAGAGAGGCAAAAAAAAAAAAAAAGAAAAAAAAAAUCCCAAAUCGCUGCUGCCGGGGAGGCAAAGUGAGGAGAGAGGAAAAGGAGGAGAGACGGCUCGGAGCCGGCAAGUAGAGAAGUUUGAGCACUUCCCACUCCUCUUGCACUUCUCCGCUGCAGUCACCGGAUCAUCACCAGCAGCAGCAGCAGCAGGGCAGGUCUGCUGCGACUCGGCACUUUCUCGGGCUCCGGUGGGCUCCUUUCCUUCUUUUGCCCUCUUUUGUUUUGAAGAGGAGAAGGGGAGAGAAGAAAUUCAGGCACCCCAAACCGCCUCGAUCGUCUCCGGUGAGAUGGUUAAAAAGGGAAAAAAAAAAAAAAAAAAAAAAAGGAAAAAAAAGCCCAAAAA